This 377-nucleotide ribosomal RNA is filed under the name uncultured bacterium. Its description in RNAcentral is "bacterial SSU rRNA". It matches the Rfam family "Bacterial small subunit ribosomal RNA", at positions 362 to 758 of the family's 1533-position model. The record is from RNAcentral.
UAUUGGACAAUGGGGGAAACCCUGAUCCAGCAAUGCCGCGUGAGUGAUGAAGGCCUUCGGGUUGUAAAGCUCUUUUGUCAGGGACGAUGAUGACGGUACCUGACGAAUAAGCUCCGGCUAACUUCGUGCCAGCAGCCGCGGUAAUACGAGGGGAGCUAGCGUUGUUCGGAAUUACUGGGCGUAAAGGGCGUGUAGGCGGUACCAUAAGUCAGAUGUGAAAGCCCUAGGCUUAACCUAGGAAUUGCAUUUGAUACUGUGGAACUAGAGAUCGAGAGAGGUAAGUGGAAUUACGAGUGUAGAGGUGAAAUUCGUAGAUAUUCGUAAGAACACCAGGGCGAAGGCGACUUACUGCUCGAUACUGACGCUAAGGCGCGAAA